RNAcentral lists this ribosomal RNA (448 nucleotides) under uncultured bacterium. RNAcentral describes it as "partial 16S ribosomal RNA". It matches the Rfam family "Bacterial small subunit ribosomal RNA", at positions 329 to 794 of the family's 1533-position model. The record is from RNAcentral.
GGCCAGACUCCUACGGGAGGCAGCAGUGGGGAAUAUUGCACAAUGGGGGAAACCCUGAUGCAGCGACGCCGCGUGAGUGAAGAAGUAUUUCGGUAUGUAAAGCUCUAUCAGCAGGGAAGAAAAUGACGGUACCUGACUAAGAAGCCCCGGCUAACUACGUGCCAGCAGCCGCGGUAAUACGUGGGGGGCAAGCGUUAUCCGGAUUUACUGGGUGUAAAGGGAGCGUAGACGGCAUGGCAAGUCAGAUGUGAAAGCCCGGGGCUCAACCCCGGGACUGCAUUUGAAACUGUCAGGCUGGAGUGCAGGAGAGGUAAGUGGAAUUCCUAGUGUAGCGGUGAAAUGCGUAGAUAUUAGGAGGAACACCAGUGGCGAAGGCGGCUUACUGGACUGUAACUGACGUUGAGGCUCGAAAGCGUGGGGAGCAAACAGGAUUAGAUACCCCAGUACC